AUACGGAGGAUCCGAGCGUUAUCCGGAUUUAUUGGGUUUAAAGGGAGCGUAGAUGGGUUGUUAAGUCAGUUGUGAAAGUUUGCGGCUCAACCGUAAAAUUGCAAUUGAUACUGGCAGUCUUGAGUACAGUUGAGGUAGGCGGAAUUCGUGGUGUAGCGGUGAAAUGCUUAGAUAUCACGAAGAACUCCGAUUGCGAAGGCAGCUUACUAAACUGCAACUGACAUUGAUGCUCGAAAGUGUGGGUAUCAAACAGGAUUAGAUACCCUGGUAGUCCACACGGUAAACGAUGAAUACUCGCUGUAGGCGAUACACAGUCUGCGGCCACGCGAAAGCAUUAAGUAUUCCACCUGGGGAGUACGCCGGCAACGGUGAA
Molecule: ribosomal RNA, 373 nt
Filed under: uncultured Bacteroides sp.
Lineage: Bacteria; Pseudomonadati; Bacteroidota; Bacteroidia; Bacteroidales; Bacteroidaceae
Description: bacterial SSU rRNA
Rfam family: Bacterial small subunit ribosomal RNA
Source: RNAcentral